RNAcentral lists this long non-coding RNA (298 nucleotides) under Triticum aestivum (bread wheat). Its description in RNAcentral is "long non-coding RNA (TAES_LNC000213)". Lineage: Eukaryota; Viridiplantae; Streptophyta; Magnoliopsida; Poales; Poaceae. The record is from RNAcentral.
GACAAACCCCGGAAGUUUUGCCGGCAAAGAACUCCAAGGACGGAGUUGGGCCGGCGGACACUAUGAUGGUGGUCCCAACCCCUGCAGCAUGACAAGGCCAACGCAUUAGUUAUUUGAAGAAACGUGAAUGCAGAAGGUACAAAAAUAUUAAAUGCACUUACGUACCUCUCCCCAUCAGGGAAGAUCAACCACCUCUGCUCGCGGGUCGCCGGCACGGACGGGAGCCGUGUAGCACCACGCUGGUAGACGGUGCCACCCUCCUCCUCAAGAUCAGUCGGCUCCCCGCCAUCAUCAGCAU